ACCGGUAUCACCCCGCCUUGCUACUCCAAAAUUCUCGGGCAGAAUAACUUUACCGGUGGCCCCCGUUAUUAAACCCCUAUUGUUGAAGGAAUUCUUCCUUGAGCCCCCUUUAAAACGACGGAGAUCCUCACCGACCGCCGUUCUCCUCCUCGCCUUCCUCCAAGCCCUAGACAUCCCUUCAAGAAUGGCCUCCGGGGUAGAGGACAUGGUGUGGGAACCCUCAGAGAAGAAUUGGGGGGCUGAAGAAGGUAAGGACUGGUGCGAGGGAAGUAGCUGAGUAGCUAGGCUCUC
This 291-nucleotide long non-coding RNA is filed under the name Elaeis guineensis (African oil palm). RNAcentral describes it as "long non-coding RNA (EGUI_LNC060015)". The record is from RNAcentral. Lineage: Eukaryota; Viridiplantae; Streptophyta; Magnoliopsida; Arecales; Arecaceae.